ACGUAGGGGGCAAGCGUUGUCCGGAUUUAUUGGGCGUAAAGAGCGUGUAGGCGGCCAGGUAGGUGGGUUGUGAAAACUGGAGGCUCAACCUUCAGACGUCGACCCAAACCCCCUGGCUAGAGUCCGGAAGAGGAGAGUGGAAUUCCUGGUGUAGCGGUGAAAUGCGCAGAUAUCAGGAAGAACACCCGUGGCGAAGGCGGCUCUCUGGGACGGUACUGACGCUGAGACGCGAAAGCGUGGGGAGCGAACAGGAUUAGAUACCCUGGUAGUCCACGCCGUAAACGAUGGGUGCUAGGUGUGGGGGGUGUCGACUCCCCCCGUGCCGAAGCUAACGCAUUAAGCACCCCGCCUGGGGAGUACGGCCGCAAGGCUA
RNAcentral lists this ribosomal RNA (373 nucleotides) under uncultured bacterium. RNAcentral describes it as "bacterial SSU rRNA". It matches the Rfam family "Bacterial small subunit ribosomal RNA", at positions 525 to 896 of the family's 1533-position model. The record is from RNAcentral.